AGACCCGAAACCCGGUGAUCUAGCCAUGGGCAGGUUGAAGGUUGGGUAACACUAACUGGAGGACCGAACCGACUAAUGUUGAAAAAUUAGCGGAUGACCUGUGGCUGGGGGUGAAAGGCCAAUCAAACCGGGAGAUAGCUGGUUCUCCCCGAAAGCUAUUUAGGUAGCGCCUCGUGAAUUCAUCUCCGGGGGUAGAGCACUGUUUCGGCUAGGGGGCCAUCCCGGCUUACCAACCCGAUGCAAACUGCGAAUACCGGAGAAUGUUAUCACGGGAGACACACGGCGGGUGCUAACGUCCGUCGUGAAGAGGGAAACAACCCAGACCGCCAGCUAAGGUCCCAAAGUCAUGGUUAAGUGGGAAACGAUGUGGGAAGGCCCAGACAGCCAGGAUGUUGGCUUAGAAGCAGCCAUCAUUUAAAGAAAGCGUAAUAGCUCACUGGUCGAGUCGGCCUGCGCGGAAGAUGUAACGGGGCUAAACCAUGCACCGAAGCUGCGGCAGCGACACUGUGUGUUGUUGGGUAGGGGAGCGUUCUGUAAGCCUGUGAAGGUGUGUCGUGAGGCAUGCUGGAGGUAUCAGAAGUGCGAAUGCUGACAUAAGUAACGAUAAAGCGGGUGAAAAGCCCGCUCGCCGGAAGACCAAGGGUUCCUGUCCAACGUUAAUCGGGGCAGGGUGAGUCGACCCCUAAGGCGAGGCCGAAAGGCGUAGUCGAUGGGAAACGGGUUAAUAUUCCCGUACUUGGUGUUACUGCGAAGGGGGGACGGAGAAGGCUAUGUUGGCCGGGCGACGGUUGUCCCGGUUUAAGCGUGUAGGUGUGUGUUCCAGGUAAAUCCGGUUCACUUUAACACUGAGGCGUGACGACGAGGCACUACGGUGCUGAAGCAACAAAUGCCCUGCUUCCAGGAAAAGCCUCUAAGCAUCAGGUAACAUCAAAUCGUACCCCAAACCGACACAGGUGGUCAGGUAGAGAAUACCAAGGCGCUUGAGAGAACUCGGGUGAAGGAACUAGGCAAAAUGGUGCCGUAACUUCGGGAGAAGGCACGCUGACACGUAGGUGAAGUGAUUUACUCAUGGAGCUGAAGUCAGUCGAAGAUACCAGCUGGCUGCAACUGUUUAUUAAAAACACAGCACUGUGCAAACACGAAAGUGGACGUAUACGGUGUGACGCCUGCCCGGUGCCGGAAGGUUAAUUGAUGGGGUCAGCGCAAGCGAAGCUCCUGAUCGAAGCCCCGGUAAACGGCGGCCGUAACUAUAACGGUCCUAAGGUAGCGAAAUUCCUUGUCGGGUAAGUUCCGACCUGCACGAAUGGCGUAAUGAUGGCCAGGCUGUCUCCACCCGAGACUCAGUGAAAUUGAACUCGCUGUGAAGAUGCAGUGUACCCGCGGCAAGACGGAAAGACCCCGUGAACCUUUACUAUAGCUUGACACUGAACAUUGAGCCUUGAUGUGUAGGAUAGGUGGGAGGCUUUGAAGUGUGGACGCCAGUCUGCAUGGAGCCGACCUUGAAAUACCACCCUUUAAUGUUUGAUGUUCUAACGUGGACCCGUUACCCGGGUUGCGGACAGUGUCUGGUGGGUAGUUUGACUGGGGCGGUCUCCUCCUAAAGAGUAACGGAGGAGCACGAAGGUUGGCUAAUCCUGGUCGGACAUCAGGAGGUUAGUGCAAUGGCAUAAGCCAGCUUGACUGCGAGCGUGACGGCGCGAGCAGGUGCGAAAGCAGGUCAUAGUGAUCCGGUGGUUCUGAAUGGAAGGGCCAUCGCUCAACGGAUAAAAGGUACUCCGGGGAUAACAGGCUGAUACCGCCCAAGAGUUCAUAUCGACGGCGGUGUUUGGCACCUCGAUGUCGGCUCAUCACAUCCUGGGGCUGAAGUAGGUCCCAAGGGUAUGGCUGUUCGCCAUUUAAAGUGGUACGCGAGCUGGGUUUAGAACGUCGUGAGACAGUUCGGUCCCUAUCUGCCGUGGGCGCUGGAGAACUGAGGGGGGCUGCUCCUAGUACGAGAGGACCGGAGUGGACGCAUCACUGGUGUUCGGGUUGUCAUGCCAAUGGCACUGCCCGGUAGCUAAAUGCGGAAGAGAUAAGUGCUGAAAGCAUCUAAGCACGAAACUUGCCCCGAGAUGAGUUCUCCCUGAGACUUUAGGUCUCCUGAAGGAACGUUGAAGACGACGACGUUGAUAGGCCGGGUGUGUAAGCGCAGCGAUGCGUUGAGCUAACCGGUACUAAUGAACCGUGAGGCUUAACCUUACAACGCCGAAG
This 2250-nucleotide ribosomal RNA is filed under the name Salmonella enterica. Its description in RNAcentral is "partial 23S ribosomal RNA". It matches the Rfam family "Bacterial large subunit ribosomal RNA", at positions 711 to 2925 of the family's 2925-position model. RNAcentral also lists the same sequence under 1 other name. The record is from RNAcentral. Lineage: Bacteria; Pseudomonadati; Pseudomonadota; Gammaproteobacteria; Enterobacterales; Enterobacteriaceae.